Molecule: long non-coding RNA, 1639 nt
Organism: Brachypodium distachyon (stiff brome)
Lineage: Eukaryota; Viridiplantae; Streptophyta; Magnoliopsida; Poales; Poaceae
Exons: 4
Source: RefSeq, a predicted model, not a curated record
UCAACCUCCUCCUCCUACUGGGCCCUAGCCGCCGCAGCUCUAAACUAAAUCAAAGCCUCUUUUUUUCGGUCCUGCAAGUCGCCGCCGUCCGACCUGCGCCAGAGCGUCGACGAUGAUCUAUGCCGCCGGUCGUGCGUCUGGGUUAAUUUCUCAAGUAUGUUGAGAAAACAGGACACAGAGCUGUAUACACAAGGGUGCUAAUCUUGAAGAUGGGGUAGCAGCUGAUGAGGAGGAUGAUCCAUUAACUGUUGCUAGACAAGCUGACCCAGAUAUCCUUUCUCAAGAUAUGCCGAAGAAGUAUAUUACAUAUGCUAAGCUGAAUGUAUUUCCCAAAAUACAUGAUGCUGACCUGGACAAGAUUAGCCAUGUGUAUGAUGAACUUCGACGUGAAUCAUCUCAUGGUCAAGGAGUCCCUAUUGUUGUAAGGCAUAUCGAAUCUAUCAUUCGAAUGUCUGAGGCACAUGCAAAGAUGCAUUUGAGAAGUUACGUUUCUCAGGAAGAUGUUGACAUGGCCAUCCGUGUGCUACUUGACUCAUUUAUUUCAACCCAGAAAUUUGGUGUCCAGAAAGCACUUCAAAAAUUAAAUUUAAAGUGUUGAGCUUGAACUAUUAUAUUGUUUGCCAACCUAACUGAGGUUACCCAAUGGAGUUCUGUUAAUGGAGAUGACAAUCAUUGCAUUGCCUUGGAAGCCUCGAUACUCAUGGUCCUAUGUUCCAAGUAAAAACAUCUGUAGCUUUUUGUCGUAAAUUUUUAACGAACUUCUGUUGUCUGUGCAGAAUUUCCGCAAAUACAUGACUUACAAGAAGGAUUACAAUGAGCUGCUUCUGCUGCUUCUGCUCCUCCUGCGCACACCGGUGAAGGAGGCCUUGCACUUUGAGGAAAUCGUGUCGUUAUCAACCACACGCUUGACUAACAUUGAGGUUAAAGUGGAUGACCUGAAGAACAAGGUGAUAGGAACACCUUUGCUCAUGAUUCUUCCUCUAGAAACGGUGCCACCUUCACAUCAGUUCCAUUUCCUCACCUUUGUUUCUCCUGCGCACACUGGUGAAUGAGGCCUUGCACUUUGAGGAAAUCAUGUCGGGAUCAACCACACGCUUACUCACAUUGAGGUUAAAUCGGAUGACCUGAAGAACAAGGUGAUAGGAACAGCUUUGCUCAUGAUUCUUCCUCUAGAAACGGUGCCAUCUUCGCAUCAGUUCCAUUUCGUCACCUCUGUUUUUCCUGCUGAAUACAAGCCCAGGAGUAUGAAAUAUAUGACUUGAAGUCGUUCUUCUCCGGCGCUCACUUCAGCAACAACAGCUUUGUCCUAGACGACGGGCGUGACAUCACCAGGCAUCCUAUUGCAGCUUAAUAACUAUCUAGGCCUCUGCCGAUGAUGAACACAUACCUCUUUCUGGAUUAAGAGCGAGGGAUGAGUACCUAGCGACGUCCACUUGCAGCGCAGGCGAUAAAUGAUAGGUGCUGCACGCUAGACUGGAAUUCUGACAUUUGUGUACUGUUUCUGUUAUUUGAAUUACAUUCAGAGAGUUAUGUACCCUCUUGACAUGGUACAAUUGUGAAGCGUUGACGCCCAUGUCCUCAGGCCAUGCCGAGAGAUGUACGCUUUUGCGGUAUAUAUAGUGGAGCUUGAUUUGGAAAA